GGCCUUUGAAUCCAUCAAUGGAGAUUAUGGAGACAUGAGAAGGGCAGAUGACUAAGGGAAACUGAAAGUGAAGAAAAUAACCUUCAAUUGUGCGGAGAAUAGAUUUCCUGAGAGAAGAUUUGAUGAAAAAUCCUUACUCAAGAGGAUGGUUUGAUGUUCCAAGUACAGAAAAUCAUUGUUCUAGAGAGGCAGAAAGGUCUGAAGUACAUCUGUAUUUCAUUUAUCUAAUGGUUGUGAAACAGAGAAGUAAUGGUGAACUCCUAUCAUCAACUCAGUGAGCAACAGAUAUUCACAUUGUGUUGAUCUUUUCAAAGAUGCAGAGAGUUCAAGAUCUCAGGUGUCCAUUUCUUUGCUACCACAUUUCAUGGCCAACUCUAUAAGACUAUGAAGAUCUUUAUGCCAACACAAAUUUCAUUGUCUUAGAGAGGAGAAAGCAUGCUUCUGAUUCUAACUCUCUGGAUAUGGAGAAGAAAGUGCUGCCACUUAAAUUUAAGCCA
Molecule: long non-coding RNA, 497 nt
Organism: Mastomys coucha (southern multimammate mouse)
Lineage: Eukaryota; Metazoa; Chordata; Mammalia; Rodentia; Muridae
Exons: 5
Source: RefSeq, a predicted model, not a curated record